GAUGAACGCUGGCGGCGUGCUUAACACAUGCAAGUCGAACGGAAAGGCCAGUGCUUGCACUGGUACUCGAGUGGCGAAAGGGUGAGUAACACGUGGGUGAUCUGCCCUGCACUUCGGGAUAAGCCUGGGAAACUGGGUCUAAUACCGGAUAGGACAAUGGUUUGGAUGCCGUUGUGGAAAGUUUUUUCGGUGUGGGAUGAGCUCGCGGCCUAUCAGCUUGUUGGUGGGGUAAUGGCCUACCAAGGCGUCGACGGGGAGCCUGCCUGAGAGGGUGUACGGCCACAUUGGGACUGAGAGACGGCCCAGACUCCUACGGGAGGCAGCAGUGGGGAAUAUUGCACAAUGGGCGCAAGCCUGAUGCAGCGACGCCGCGUGGGGGAUGACGGCCUUCGGGUUGUAAACUCCUUUCGCUAGGGACGAAGCGUAUUUGUGACGGUACCUGGAGAAGAAGCACCGGCUAACUACGUG
RNAcentral lists this ribosomal RNA (468 nucleotides) under uncultured bacterium. RNAcentral describes it as "partial 16S ribosomal RNA". It matches the Rfam family "Bacterial small subunit ribosomal RNA", at positions 28 to 507 of the family's 1533-position model. The record is from RNAcentral.